UGGGGAAUAUUGCACAAUGGGCGCAAGCCUGAUGCAGCGACGCCGCGUGAGGGGAUGACGGCCUGGUGUAACUCUUCUACCCAUGACGAAGCGCAAGUGACGGUAGUGGGAGAAGAAG
RNAcentral lists this ribosomal RNA (118 nucleotides) under uncultured bacterium. RNAcentral describes it as "partial 16S ribosomal RNA". It matches the Rfam family "Bacterial small subunit ribosomal RNA", at positions 355 to 490 of the family's 1533-position model. The record is from RNAcentral.